Molecule: ribosomal RNA, 391 nt
Filed under: uncultured eukaryote
Lineage: Eukaryota
Description: partial 18S ribosomal RNA
Rfam family: Eukaryotic small subunit ribosomal RNA
Source: RNAcentral
CAAUAGCGUAUAUUAAAGUUGUUGCAGUUAAAAAGCUCGUAGUUGGAUUUCUGUGAGAGUGCCGGUGUCGGCUGAUGCUUGUACACUGGCGCUCUUACAUCCUUCUGUUAACCGUUCUUGGCAUUAAUUUGCUGGUUCGGGGCACAGAUAUUUUACCUUGAGAAAAUUAGAGUGUUUCAGGCAGGCUUAUGCCGGAAUACAUUAGUAUGGAAUAAUGGAACAGGACCUGUGCGUCUUUCGGGGCGCCGGUCUCCGUUAUUGGUUUCGGGGACUAAAGUAAUGAUUAAUAGGGAUAGUUGGGGGCAUUAGUAUUUAAUAGUCAGAGGUGAAAUUCUCGGAUUUGUUAAAGACUAACUUAUGCGAAAGCAUUUGCCAAGGAUGUUUUCAUUAA